RNAcentral lists this unclassified non-coding RNA (330 nucleotides) under soil metagenome. Its description in RNAcentral is "partial contains 5.8S ribosomal RNA, internal transcribed spacer 2, and large subunit ribosomal RNA". The stretch from base 1 to 120 matches the Rfam family "5.8S ribosomal RNA", at positions 35 to 154 of the family's 154-position model. The record is from RNAcentral.
GAUGAAGAACGCAGCGAAAUGCGAUAAGUAGUGUGAAUUGCAGAAUUCAGUGAAUCAUCGAAUCUUUGAACGCACAUUGCGCCCCCUGGUAUUCCGGGGGGCAUGCCUGUUCGAGCGUCAUUUCACCACUCAAGCCUCGCUUGGUAUUGGGCAACGCGGUCCGCCGCGUGCCUCAAAUCGACCGGCUGGGUCUUCUGUCCCCUAAGCGUUGUGGAAACUAUUCGCUAAAGGGUGUUCGGGAGGCUACGCCGUAAAACAACCCCAUUUCUAAGGUUGACCUCGGAUCAGGUAGGGAUACCCGCUGAACUUAAGCAUAUCAAUAAGCGGAGG